GACGAACGCUGGCGGCGUGCCUAAUACAUGCAAGUCGAGCGAAUGACGAGAAGCUUGCUUCUCUGAUUUAGCGGCGGACGGGUGAGUAACACGUGGGCAACCUGCCCUACAGAUCGGGAUAACUCAGGGAAACCUGGGCUAAUACCGGAUAAUCCUUCGUAUCACAUGUUUUGAAGUUGAAAGGCGCUUGGGCGUCACUGUAUGAUGGGCCCGCGGUGCAUUAGCUAGUCGGUGGGGUAACGGCUGACCAAGGCAACGAUGCAUAGCCGACCUGAGAGGGUGAUCGGCAACAUUGGGACUGAGACACGGCCCAAACUCCUACGGGAGGCAGCAGUAGGGAAUCUUCCACAAUGGACGAAAGUCUGAUGGAGCAACGCCGCGUGAGUGAUGAAGGUUUUCGGAUCGUAAAACUCUGUUGUAAGGGAAGAACAAGUACGUUAGGAAAUGAACGUACCUUGACGGUACCUUAUUAGAAAGCCACGGCUAACUACGUGCCAGCCGCCGCCGUAA
This 510-nucleotide ribosomal RNA is filed under the name uncultured bacterium. RNAcentral's name for it is "partial 16S ribosomal RNA". It matches the Rfam family "Bacterial small subunit ribosomal RNA", at positions 28 to 523 of the family's 1533-position model. The record is from RNAcentral.